GAUGAACGCUGGCGGCGUGCCUAAUACAUGCAAGUCGAGCGAACGGACGAGAAGCUUGCUUCUCUGAUGUUAGCGGCGGACGGGUGAGUAACACGUGGAUAACCUACCUAUAAGACUGGGAUAACUUCGGGAAACCGGAGCUAAUACCGGAUAAUAUUUUGAACCGCAUGGUUCAAAAGUGAAAGACGGUCUUGCUGUCACUUAUAGAUGGAUCCGCGCUGCAUUAGCUAGUUGGUAAGGUAACGGCUUACCAAGGCAACGAUGCAUAGCCGACCUGAGAGGGUGAUCGGCCACACUGGAACUGAGACACGGUCCAGACUCCUACGGGAGGCAGCAGUAGGGAAUCUUCCGCAAUGGGCGAAAGCCUGACGGAGCAACGCCGCGUGAGUGAUGAAGGUCUUCGGAUCGUAAAACUCUGUUAUUAGGGAAGAACAUAUGUGUAAGUAACUGUGCACAUCUUGACGGUACCUAAUCAGAAAGCCACGGCUAACUACGUGCCAGCAGCCGCGGUAAUACGUAGGUGGCAAGCGUUGUCCGGAAUUAUUGGGCGUAAAGCGCGCGUAGGCGGUUUUUUAAGUCUGAUGUGAAAGCCCACGGCUCAACCGUGGAGGGUCAUUGGAAACUGGAAAACUUGAGUGCAGAAGAGGAAAGUGGAAUUCCAUGUGUAGCGGUGAAAUGCGCAGAGAUAUGGAGGAACACCAGUGGCGAAGGCGACUUUCUGGUCCGUAACUGACGCUGAUGUGCGAAAGCGUGGGGAUCAAACAGGAUUAGAUACCCUGGUAGUCCACGCCGUAAACGAUGAGUGCUAAGUGUUAGGGGGUUUCCGCCCCUUAGUGCUGCAGCUAACGCAUUAAGCACUCCGCCUGGGGAGUACGACCGCAAGGUUGAAACUCAAAGGAAUUGACGGGGACCCGCACAAGCGGUGGAGCAUGUGGUUUAAUUCGAAGCAACGCGAAGAACCUUACCAAAUCUUGACAUCCUUUGACAACUCUAGAGAUAGAGCUUUCCCCUUCGGGGGACAAAGUGACAGGUGGUGCAUGGUUGUCGUCAGCUCGUGUCGUGAGAUGUUGGGUUAAGUCCCGCAACGAGCGCAACCCUUAAGCUUAGUUGCCAUCAUUAAGUUGGGCACUCUAAGUUGACUGCCGGUGACAAACCGGAGGAAGGUGGGGAUGACGUCAAAUCAUCAUGCCCCUUAUGAUUUGGGCUACACACGUGCUACAAUGGACAAUACAAAGGGCAGCGAAACCGCGAGGUCAAGCAAAUCCCAUAAAGUUGUUCUCAGUUCGGAUUGUAGUCUGCAACUCGACUACAUGAAGCUGAAAUCGCUAGUAAUCGUAGAUCAGCAUGCUACGGUGAAUACGUUCCCGGGUCU
RNAcentral lists this ribosomal RNA (1372 nucleotides) under uncultured bacterium. RNAcentral describes it as "bacterial SSU rRNA". It matches the Rfam family "Bacterial small subunit ribosomal RNA", at positions 28 to 1381 of the family's 1533-position model. The record is from RNAcentral.